This is a long non-coding RNA of Triticum aestivum (bread wheat), 177 nucleotides long. RefSeq lists it as uncharacterized. The record is from RefSeq and is a predicted model, not a curated record. The transcript is spliced from 3 exons. NCBI's taxonomy places the organism in Eukaryota, Viridiplantae, Streptophyta, Magnoliopsida, Poales, Poaceae.
GGAGAUGCGGGUGGCAAUGAAGGAGAUCGUUCUGGAAGUCAACCUCUUCGCCGGAACUCGAAGCGUCCUGCUAAUCGCCAGCCACGACUUGCGCAGAGUGUUGAGCAGGGAGAGGAUGUUGAGGAUGCUGAUCAGUUCCGUGUUGUAAAGCGGACUAGACGUGCAGCACUUGGCAAG